GAAGAUACGCAUACCAGUUAUCACUAAAGUCAAGAACGCAAGCACGCAACAUGUAUUCCAAUGUCUAGAUCGUAUGUUCUGACUGACCAUCUUUAUGGGAUGAUAAGUGGUGAUGAAGUACAACCCAAACCCUAGAGCUUCUUUGAAGAUGUCCCAAGAGUGAGAAGUGAACCGAGAUCACGGUCGGACACAAUGGAUGAGGGAACUCUAUGGAGUCAAAUAA
This 223-nucleotide long non-coding RNA is filed under the name Carica papaya (papaya). Its description in RNAcentral is "long non-coding RNA (CPAP_LNC001990)". Lineage: Eukaryota; Viridiplantae; Streptophyta; Magnoliopsida; Brassicales; Caricaceae. The record is from RNAcentral.